This 2875-nucleotide long non-coding RNA is filed under the name Hordeum vulgare. Its description in RNAcentral is "long non-coding RNA (HVUL_LNC013696)". Lineage: Eukaryota; Viridiplantae; Streptophyta; Magnoliopsida; Poales; Poaceae. The record is from RNAcentral.
UUCUCUCUACGUAGUAUCCAUCCAUCCAUUGACUAAUCUGAUGAUUGACUCUAGGUUAAUCGAUCCACACGUUCGAUUUGAGCAAGACUUUUUCCUCCACGACACGCUAGGGUUCAUUGACGCCGCCGCGCCGGCUGCCGCGCCGUUGCCGCCGACCCGCCGUGCUCCGCCGUCGUCGACCGUGCUGCCGUGAGUAUACAGAGUACAUACACGCAUGCGCAGGCUAAGCAGCUCUGGCAGGAGGGAUUGGAACUUUCGAAGCAGAUUUUUCGUUGAUCCGUCCGAGCCUCCUCUUGAGUCCAGGUGAGCCUGCUCUACUCCAGGUGAGCCUGGCUGAACGCAGGUCUCGCUGAGUUGCCGUCUUAAUCAGAUUCAGAUGCUUUAACUGUAUGUCUGUAUCUUUCCAGCAAACACAUGUAUUUCACUUUGUAAUCGAUCAGUUACAAUAUAUGUGUCUUAUUCCAGCCUGAUUGAUAUCUCACUGCCCACACACAAUUACAUAUUUUGAUAUUUGUCAGGUCAAUUACAUAUUUGCUUUUUACUGUUACAUGUUUGAAAUUUCUAUAAUAUUCAAGAGUUGAAAUAUUUGUGUGUUAUGUCUCUUGUGUGUUUUAAUGUGUUCUUCGCCCCCCUAUGAUGAAAUCCUGGCUCUGCCCCUGACGACGAGGAGUGGCCUUGUGGGUGAGACUGCAUGAGCGGUGUUUCGUGUCUUGCCUCACGCCACGUCGCCAAAACCUCCAUCAGAAACCACUUAAGCAGUGCCUUGGGGGUGUUUUGUCUGGUAUUUUAAAAUUUUGGGGUUAAGUAACCGGUUUUUAAGUUGAGGGGGUGAUGCGGUUGAAAUCUGAAAGUUUAGGGGUUAUAUACAUUUAACUCGAACUAAAACAGAAUUAUACAGUAUGUGAUAUACUUCUAACAGAAGCAUCCAUUUUAUUAUAGGGGGGUGAUCUGCGCCGGCGCGCCGGCCCAGAUUUUCGGCCGGCCGCGCACGGGCCGCAGGAUCCACCAACCCCGCGUUGUUCGCACCGUUGGAUCCGCAUGCAACAUUUUUCUCCCUAUGCAGCAAAAUUUUGAUGUCAUGCAGUAAAUUUUUCAACGGUUGCAACAAAAAACAAAAUUUGUAGCAAAAAAAAUAUCUACGUGAUCGUAGCAAAAAAAGAAGCUGAUGGUACGUGGUAGCAAAAGUCAAACACCGGUUGUAACAAAAAUUUACGUGACGUGUAUGUAACUUUUUAGUGAACGGUUGCAGCAAAACAUGAUGCCGGUUGUAGCAAAAAUUAACACGGUUGUAGCAAAAAGUAAAAAAUAUCGAUUGUAACAAAAAAUCCGACGAACUAGAGUUGCAACCAAACUUAUAUGCAGCUUUUUUACUGAGACAAAAUAUAGUAAAAAUAACGCAGGUUGCAACAUUUUUAGACGAAAAAUGUUGCAUCCAUUGACCGGAGAAGCGUGCGGCUGGAAAAAAUGUUGCAAGGCUCGCGCGCGCCAGGGGGCGACCGGCGCGUCGGUUCGGCCGGCGCACGGGUGGGAAACGAUUCCCUUUAUUAUAAUAGCAUGGGUUUGUACGUUGCAGGAAAAGGGAAACAUGCAUCAUGGAUGGACUCACUUGGCCUGGUUGCUCUUUUGCGUGGGCGUUGCUGCUCUUGAUCGCCUCUCAUCAGCCGGCGCUUGGUUUUCGUCAUCGGUCUUUAAUUUGAUGACAGCCUGAAGAUCGAACAAGGAACAAAAUUCAGGUAGCACUGAUUGAUCUGAUUCUGAUCACACAAGUAGGGUGAAUUACUGUGGCGGAAUCUAUAGCUCUAAGAAAUAGGAUGGGUUGAACAAUCCAUACACAACCAAGAAAUAAAGAUUUUGAACCCAUACACAGCCAAAAUGUGCCCCCGUCGGUGGAGAAGGAGAGGGAUACCUUGGAAACAAUCUCAACGGCCGCCGCUGGGACCUCUGCUUGUUCCAACUUGUCCAGGCGUCUUCUGAAAAAAAAACUAGUCCAGCCGCGAGAGGGAUCGUUUUAUCUGGAUCGGCCCACUAGCUCCUUUUUUAUAGAAUCUUAUAUUCGCUUUUGGGCUUGCCUCAAAAAUAACCUUAUGCUCCGUUUUGAACGAUUUGUGGAAGUCUAUAGCCCGUAGAAAGCCUACACCUUAACUUUUUUUUUGGUUGCUCCAAUUUUUGGAGCGGCCCACGCAACCCAACGUGGCAGCAUCCUCCUCCACUUCCCCAGGAAACCGAUUCCGCGGGGUCCUUCCGUCGACGUAUCCAGCGGCGGCCGGUGAGUUGUUUCAAAGGUAUCCCUUCACCACCGGCCUCCGGUAGAAUUUUGAUUGUUUGGAUUGUCCGAGAUCUCUUUCCUUCUUGGUUGUAUACGGAUACAUACAUCAACUAAACCACCCAGUUUAUUAGAUUAGAUUGAUUCCACACCACAGUAAUCUGACGCAGUGUAUUUUAUUUUUGUCCUAGUUUCCAACUCCGAUCUAUUGUGUACGGAUAAACCUAUCUCUCCAUUUGUCUGGGCAACCAUACCGAUCCACUAGUUGUGUAAUCAGAUCAAUCAGUGUUUGCUGCUCUGGCUGGAUUGAAAAGAUCGAUGAUGAAAAACAAGAAGCCCCGGAUGGUGAGAGGCCAUGAAGAGCAACGCCCUUACAAAAGGGUGGCUAGGCCAAGUGAGUCCAUGCUGUUUCCAUUCUCCUGCAACUACAUAUUCACAAUUAACGCUUCUGUUAACUGUAUCGCACAUGAUUUUUAUUUUCAAUUAACUAGCUUUGUGUGCUACCUUCGUAGACAGCUUGAGUGAAUCCAGUCCAGGCGCCCUGAGUGAACUCAGUGAGCAAGUAGUUUCAAGAUUGCGUAGGAGUGUCGUGUCGCUUGCUUCAUUCGAUGG